Lagopus leucura (white-tailed ptarmigan) is the source of this 463-nucleotide long non-coding RNA. RefSeq lists it as uncharacterized. The transcript is spliced from 3 exons. The record is from RefSeq and is a predicted model, not a curated record. Lineage: Eukaryota; Metazoa; Chordata; Aves; Galliformes; Phasianidae.
GCUCAGGAUGCAACACACAGUUUCCUGGAUCCCUUUCACUUUCUUCCUCUUAGGAGUAUUCGCACAUUCCUCAGGAUAAAAACUUUGGUAGGAGUGAUUGGAGAAUGCUAUGAUGCUUUGAAAAGGACAUGUGGACAGAAUCUGGAACACUUUGGUUGUGUUUCUCAUGACAUCAAGAAGGCCAUGUAAUGGUCUAAUUUCAGCCAAGCAGCACCUAGCAGCUCCACCAUAGAUCAAGAUACUCUGCUGUUCCCUAUAUUUCAUGGUGUCAGGACAAUGACAGCCACAGUCCGCAAAGCUGUCACUGGAGCUGCUGCCAUCAGCCUGCAUUCUGCAAGGUUGUGCUCUGCCUUAAAUUAACAUUACGUUCUGGUGGUGCCCAGCACUCAGAAUUUUCCUAUUAUGUGAUCUCUGCAUGGUUUUUUUUACCUCAUCCAUCAUGCUGUCACUGCAUCACUUUCAC